Molecule: ribosomal RNA, 800 nt
Filed under: Psychrobacter fozii
Lineage: Bacteria; Pseudomonadati; Pseudomonadota; Gammaproteobacteria; Moraxellales; Moraxellaceae
Description: bacterial SSU rRNA
Rfam family: Bacterial small subunit ribosomal RNA
Source: RNAcentral
AAUACUUAGGAAUCUACCUAGUAGUGGGGGAUAGCACGGGGAAACUCGUAUUAAUACCGCAUACGACCUACGGGAGAAAGGGGGCAGUUUACUGCUCUCGCUAUUAGAUGAGCCUAAGUCGGAUUAGCUAGAUGGUGGGGUAAAGGCCUACCAUGGCGACGAUCUGUAGCUGGUCUGAGAGGAUGAUCAGCCACACCGGGACUGAGACACGGCCCGGACUCCUACGGGAGGCAGCAGUGGGGAAUAUUGGACAAUGGGGGAAACCCUGAUCCAGCCAUGCCGCGUGUGUGAAGAAGGCCUUUUGGUUGUAAAGCACUUUAAGCAGUGAAGAAGACUCCGUGGUUAAUACCCACGGACGAUGACAUUAGCUGCAGAAUAAGCACCGGCUAACUCUGUGCCAGCAGCCGCGGUAAUACAGAGGGUGCAAGCGUUAAUCGGAAUUACUGGGCGUAAAGGGAGCGUAGGUGGCUCUAUAAGUCAGAUGUGAAAUCCCCGGGCUUAACCUGGGAACUGCAUCUGAAACUGUAGAGCUAGAGUAUGUGAGAGGGAGGUAGAAUUUCAGGUGUAGCGGUGAAAUGCGUAGAGAUCUGAAGGAAUACCGAUGGCGAAGGCAGCCUCCUGGCAUAAUACUGACACUGAGGCUCGAAAGCGUGGGUAGCAAACAGGAUUAGAUACCCUGGUAGUCCACGCCGUAAACGAUGUCUACUAGUCGUUGGGUCCCUUGAGGACUUAGUGACGCAGCUAACGCAAUAAGUAGACCGCCUGGGGAGUACGGCCGCAAGGUUAAAACUCAAAUGAAU